GGGUGCGUAACUCAGCUGGAUAGAGUAGCAGCCUUCUAAGCUGCGAGUCACAGGUUCGAGUCCUGUCGCACCCG
Molecule: transfer RNA, 74 nt
Organism: Phormidium ambiguum
Lineage: Bacteria; Bacillati; Cyanobacteriota; Cyanophyceae; Oscillatoriales; Oscillatoriaceae
Rfam family: tRNA
About the family: Transfer RNA (tRNA) molecules are approximately 80 nucleotides in length.
Source: Rfam